RNAcentral lists this unclassified non-coding RNA (145 nucleotides) under uncultured Microascales. RNAcentral describes it as "sequence contains ITS1". The record is from RNAcentral. Lineage: Eukaryota; Fungi; Ascomycota; Sordariomycetes; Microascales.
UAGAGUUUUAUACUCCAAACCCCUGUUUAUCUACCUAAUCGUUGCUUCGGCAGGAGGCCCCAGGGCGGGGUCGCUGGGUGCCUGCCGGAGGUAUACAAACUCUUGUUUUUACCUGUACACCUCUGAGUUAAAAUCUAAUAAGUUA